GGCAAUUCCAUGAAUACAUGGUAAAAACCUGUGGGAGUGCAAAUACAAACACAGGACACAAGAGAACACAUUAUGGGCAUGAAUGUCAAGCAGCCUACUCUCAGUACAAUAGUCUAUUUUGCUUUCUAAGAUUGGGCAAAAACAGAGACAUCUAUUGCAUAUAAAGAUAAGGACAUAUACUUCAAUGGUGAAUGUUUUCUGAAACUUCACUGAUAAUAUUAUUUCAGCAAUAACAUACAGGCACUUAGUGGAGCUAAAGGAUUUGGACUUUUUGAAAGUUAUCAAAUAACAAGAAGAGAAAAACACACUACUUCAGAUAUUGGCACCUACAUGCAGUGCCUUGACAAAAUUAUUUAACAACUAUUUAUCAUUUGCUCUUUUCCACUUCUCAUUAUCUUUUCUAGCUAACAAACUGUCAUUCUACAAGCUUUGCUCCACUGUUUCAGGUAUUAGCAACUCUGUCAAAGAAUCUGAUCGAGGCUCUUCGGUAGCAAUGUAAUCAGGGAAAGACAAAGGACUAGGUGGCAGCCGCAUAUCAUCAGUGCUACUAUUUAACAUUUCCACCACCUUGGCCAUCAAUGGACGAUCUGAUGCAUUUUUUUGAGUGCACCACNCAACCCAACUAUACAUAUUUUUUUGGCUAUUGCAGCCUCACUCUCACUAACAUUGUCAAGGUCUAAACCUCCUCCUGCAUUUACACGGUCAUAAACCCAUGAUGGGAAAUAUACUUUGCUUGAACUACUUCCCUUUGCAUCAGUGUUCCUUCUUCCUCGAACCAUUUCCAACAAUAACAUCCCAAAACUAUAAACAUCUGAUUUGCAAGAAACAGCUCCAAGGUUGUUUGACAUCAACUCAGGAGCAAUAUACCCCAUAGUUCCUCUUGUAGCACUAGCAGACACAAAAUCAUAUUCUGCGGGGUAAAAUUUUGCAAGACCAAAAUCUGAAACUUUAGGUGUGAAAUUAUGGUCAAGCAGGACAUUAUGUGGUUUGAUAUCAAAAUGAAGAAUGCACACAUCACAUCCCACAUGUAGAUGGUCAAUUCCUUGAGCUGUCCCUAUAGCAAUUUGUAGAAGUCUCUCCCAACUCAAUGGCUGAAGUUCUGUUUCUCUUGAAAAUAUGUACUUGUCAAGAGACCUAUUAACCAUGUACUCAAAGAGAAGAGCACGAUAAGAUCCCUCACAACAAAAUCCCACUAACCUUAUUACAUUAACAUGAUGAAUUUUACCAAUUGAGAAGAUUUCAUUGAUGAAGUCCACAUCACUACACUUGGAGUUGCCAAGCAUUUUGACGGCGACUAAAAGACCAUCAGGAAGUUGUCCUUUGUAAACUGUCCCAAAGCCACCUCGGCCUAAUUUAUCUUUAAAAUUGUCUGUAAUUGCAAUAAUAUUAGAGUAAGAGUACCUUCUGGGCAUCAAGGAUUGUUGAUUGGGUAGAAAUUCCUCCUUGUUAUCUUCAGUCUUCUUUGUUGUUCUAUGUUUGUAGAUUAGGAAUCCAACUAUAACUAUUGGAGCAAGGAUGAAUCUCGCAAUCAGAUUUAUUGCUAACAAAACGUCCAAAAUAGCAUAAAAGAUGGUUGAAACCAGAGUGGGUACAUAUAUGCCUGAAAAAUGGCAUUCAUAGAUAUUUGGUGUACCCAAUGAGCUCAAAGUGCAGGAACCACCAUCUGCAAUGCAAUCCCGGCACUCAACAGACCAUUCAAGAUCAAACCCUGACGCCAUCAAUUUCAAGAUACUUUCAUAAGAAGGGUACCACACAGCCUGGUAAAUUGUGGGAACCCUCGAAAUGAAGGAACAGGAACCUUGAAGAUCAGAUAUUACAUAGGUGCCAUAGCUAACAUAAACAUGAGAGUCAUUUCCACUCAAACAAGGAACUUUCCUAUAAGCUUGAUCAUUGAUCUCACUCGAACAUCUGAAGAAACUGGCAAACGUACUAGAUACCAAUCCCCCAUAGCGAUUAUCAUACUUUACCUCAUCAACUGACACUGAACUGUGCGGAAGGUUGCAGCUCCCACUGGCUAAGUUAACAUCAACCAGGCGGAUCAAAUGUCUAUCAUAGGAAAUUUGCUUGACAAAAUACUGCCCUGAAUGAAAUUCCAAAAUGGGUUUGUUGUCCUGGCAAGAAAGUUGAUAGUCAGGAUCACCACACUCGACUGGAUCGGUGGUUAGGCGAAAUGGGUAAGUGAUCUUGUUGAGUUCACCACAUGAAGAAGAACAAAUUUCUUGGAGAAAUCUUGCUUCAAUUUCAGUUUUAGAUAGAAAGAUGAAGAGGGCAAGCACAAGAAGAGUGGAAAUUGUCGGCGAUUCGUGACUUUUCAUGGUUAAGGAUAAGAAACUCGGAGCAAAUUGUGUUUCAGUGAAGUGAAGUUUGUAA
Molecule: unclassified non-coding RNA, 2370 nt
Filed under: Hevea brasiliensis (rubber tree)
Lineage: Eukaryota; Viridiplantae; Streptophyta; Magnoliopsida; Malpighiales; Euphorbiaceae
Source: RNAcentral